RNAcentral lists this ribosomal RNA (460 nucleotides) under uncultured bacterium. RNAcentral's name for it is "partial 16S ribosomal RNA". It matches the Rfam family "Bacterial small subunit ribosomal RNA", at positions 338 to 795 of the family's 1533-position model. The record is from RNAcentral.
CCUACGUGUGGCUGCAGUGAGGAAUAUUCGUCAAUGGGCGCGAGCCUGAACCAGCCAAGUAGCGUGAAGGAUGAAUGCCCUACGGGUUUUAAACUUCUUUUAUAAAGGAAUAAAGUGAGGCACGUGUGCCUUUUUGUAUUUACUUUAUGAAUAAGGAUCGGCUAACUCCGUGCCAGCAGCCGCGGUAAUACGGAGGAUACGAGCGUUAUCCGGAUUUAUUGGGUUUAAAGGGAGCGUAGAUGGGUUGUUAAGUCAGUUGUGAAAGUGUGCGGCUCAACCGGAAAAUUGCAAUUGAUACUAGCAGCCUUGAGUACAGUUGAGGUAGGCGGAAUUCGUGGUGUAGCGGUGAAAUGCGUAGAUAUCACGAAGAACUCCGAUUGCGAAGGCAGCUUACUAAACUGCCACUGACAUUGAUGCUCGAAAGUGUGGGUAUCAAACAGGAUUAGAUACCCCUGUAGUC